Etheostoma cragini (Arkansas darter) is the source of this 77-nucleotide long non-coding RNA. RefSeq lists it as uncharacterized. The transcript has 3 exons. The record is from RefSeq and is a predicted model, not a curated record. NCBI's taxonomy places the organism in Eukaryota, Metazoa, Chordata, Actinopteri, Perciformes, Percidae.
AUAUACAGCUCUAUGUCUUUGGGUUGAAAUAACAUUAUCAUGAUCCAUUGGCAUCCAAAAAUUGAUAACUUGACUUU